AGCUUUGCGCAGUGGCAGUAUCGUAGCCAAUGAGGUUUAUCCAAGGCACGAUUAUUGCUAACUGUAUCCACCUAUGUAACAAUAGUGCUGCAAUGCCAGUGAC
Molecule: small nuclear RNA, 103 nt
Organism: Heterocephalus glaber (naked mole-rat)
Lineage: Eukaryota; Metazoa; Chordata; Mammalia; Rodentia; Bathyergidae
Gene: U4
Rfam family: U4 spliceosomal RNA
About the family: U4 small nuclear RNA (U4 snRNA) is a component of the major U2-dependent spliceosome. The structure of U4 snRNA from yeast and human has been reported.
Source: Ensembl